This 253-nucleotide ribosomal RNA is filed under the name uncultured bacterium. RNAcentral describes it as "partial 16S ribosomal RNA". It matches the Rfam family "Bacterial small subunit ribosomal RNA", at positions 524 to 776 of the family's 1533-position model. The record is from RNAcentral.
UACGUAGGGUGCAAGCGUUAAUCGGAAUUACUGGGCGUAAAGCGUGCGCAGGCGGUUGUGCAAGACCGAUGUGAAAUCCCCGGGCUUAACCUGGGAAUGGCAUUGGUGACUGCACGGCUAGAGUGUGUCAGAGGGGGGUAGAAUUCCACGUGUAGCAGUGAAAUGCGUAGAUAUCUGGAGGAACACCGGUGGCGAAGGCGGCAUCCCGGACCGGCAUUGACGCUGAGGCGCGAAAGCCAGGGGAGCGAACGGG